UAAGUUGGUGAGGUGUUGCAUAGCUUGGACACUAGGUAAGCUCUUCAGAUUAUUGCAAGAAAGAAUCCUCAGCUAUUUAAGGGAUGUAAGGCUACCCAACCAUUCCGGCACAGUCUCCACUCCGUCAAAUGAAAAUAAUGAAAGUUUCUUUUCUUAAUAAAUAACAAAACUGUGAAUAAUUUUACCUUGUCAAUAUCUCUGAUUGGACAUUUUCCUCUUAUGUACACAUGAUAGCCCGUGGAAGCUUCCACCCGCUUUAGGGAAUUGCCACAACCUAGAGAAGGGGUGAAUACAUAAGAGUAAGCAACACAGUGGAUCAAAAUGAAUUCUCAAUUGAGAAAGCCGCCUAAUGCAAAUAGAUGAAUUUAGAAAAAGUCAGUGGAUAACUGACCCAGGAAGAAACAAUGCCGUAGGCUGAUACGUAAAGAGUAUUUUGGCAGUGUUCAUGUCCACAAAAAAGUAAGCAACAUUGUGACUCAACCUGUGGAUAGAAGACCACCAUAAUUAACUCCCAAACUCCCCGGACAGCGUUGCACAUUCUAAUCCCACAUCAGGAACGAUACGAGUCUUCUGAGUGGAAUACUACUGGGUAUCUCUCAGGACCUUUAGGGAAACAUGAUUGAAGUUGAAGAAUGAUAUUGAUCCGCCUAUGAGCUUUGAUCGGAAUCCCAAUAUCCCUGUACAAAGAUAACACCAAAACAACUUAAAGAAAAAUAUAAACAACAAAUUUCAAUCUUUCUCACAUCUUGAAGAAACAUUCCAGUCAUGGUUCAACACUUAGAUUCACAAUAAGUACUCCCACGCCAUUAACUGAGAAACUCUUCAAGUCCUCUGGUACCUCGGAAUUUGGAAUUCUCGAUUGUCAAUUGAAGCUAAUGAAGAAAAUGCCAGUUGAGAAGAAUUACAUAACACAGUAUAAUAAAAUCACAAAGAGAACAAGUCUGGGCCUGUAGAACCAAAGGUAAUCCGCUGAAGGAUGAACAAUUAAGUCCCCUCAAAUUUGUUAGCAUCAUAUAUUUCUCAGCAACCUCGCGAGACAUUUGAGAAAUUACAUGCCCCAACUUGGUGCCAACAGCAAGUGAAAAGCUGCAAGAAAGAAAUCACUAUUGAGUUUUAACUUUCAAACUAAUUCUGUAUAGUAUUAGUAAAACAGAUAGCCUGAUAUGACCACAGCAGAAAAGCUUGCAUACUGUUUAAGUUGCAAUUUUGGCAACAGGAAUACCUCUCCUCUAGCAUUUUCGUUUCCUAUCCCAUAGAAUUUUAUAUCCUCAACAGAAUACCCUGCCACCGCUGAGUCAUAGCGAGUUCCAUAAAUGAACAAGCCCUCGAAGACUUUCAUGAGUAAUAUCAAGGUCCAGUGAACUUGCUGCAAAAUAAACAUUUCAUAUGGCUACUCUCAUAAUAAUCUCUCUUGAUAAUUUCAGCAAUAAUACAGGUACUCAACAGUUCAUCAAGUUACUCGAGCGAUAUCAAUUACUGACACAAAAUCAAUAGAAUUCAAAUCACUGUGCAUAUUACAAGUUGCCCCAAAACUAUGAGUCGAAAAUCUUCACAAGAAAGCAAUUACAAGAGUUCUAUAUAUUAUAUUAACGUCGUUAACCUGAAAACAAGUCUUGGGAUAAUAUAAACAAAUUUCCUCAUUGUGCAUGAACCAAUGGAAUAAGCAACCUGCAAGAGAUGGAAGCAACAAAUGUGGUAAAUCUACCACUGCCAUUGUGAUCAGAAUAAAAAGUCAUUAGCAUGUAAGGGAUGAAAGGAUGAAAUAAUAUCUAAAACAACAAACACCACAUUUCUGUAAAAAAAAAACAUAUCUUGUGCUUCAGUACCUGGACUCUGCUUGCACCUACUGCACUACAUCGUUCCCGUUGCGUAGUUUCAAUCCAAGUAUUGUCUCAGACCACAACUGAUCAUUUAAAAGAAAAGAGAGAAGGAUAAACAAAUUAUGUUAUACUAGUUUAAAUUUGAGUGUACUACUAGUGGAGACACGGAAUAAAAGAAGAAAAAUGAUAAACAUAUAACGUCAGCUCAGAAAUUUGAUUUCAAUAAUUUAAAAACCUUACUUCUGAAAUAUGGAAUGUGAGAAAUCUUAGGCCACUCUGUGCCGCUGUCCCUGCUGCAUCUUUCCUCUAAAAGGGGAUGACAUCCAUAAAUCCUUGGAGAUUGUAAGUUGGUGAGGCGUUGCAUAGCUUGGACACUUGGUAAAUUCAUCAGAUUCUUGCAAUCCCAAAUCCACAGCUCUUAAGGGAUGUAAGGCUACCCAACCAUUCUGGUAAAGUCUCCACUCCGUCAAUGCAGAAGUUGGAGCCAUGUGGAGUCGUUGUACAUACAACUGGAAUAAAAGUAAUCUUGGAGAACUGUGGCCUUGCACACCAUGAAAUUUGGUAAGGUGCUGCCUACCAUCGAUUCAACUGCUGUGUGACUUAAAAAGGAGAAGGAUAAACAAAUUUUGUUAUAGUACGUGCUUUGAAUUUUUGUGUAGUAAUAGUGGAGACACAGAAUAAAAAAACAAAAGAGAUAAACCUAUAACGUGAGCUCUGUAAUUUGAUUUCAAUAAUUUUAAAACAUACUUAGGAUAAGUGGAAUGUGAGAAAUCUUAGGUCAAUCUGUGCCAUUGUCCCUGGUGCAUCUUUGCUUUAGAAGGGGAUGACAUUCAUAAAUAGUCAGAGUAUGUAAGUUGGCUCGGCGUUGCAUAGCUUGGACACUAGGUAAAUUCAUCAGAUUCUUGCAAUCUUGAAUGUCCAUCUCUGUAAAGUAUGUAAGGUUACCCAACCAUUCUGGCAAUGUCUCCACUCUGUCAAAUUGAUAUAUCACCAAAAAUGUUAGAAGUGAGGUGUUGAAUUUGUUGAGGCGGAGACUUGAGCUUAGGCCAACCAUACAAGGCUAAAAAUCAGGGAAGGAAUCGAGCUCCUCCCAGAACCGACCGAUUUCCAAAUGAUGGAGAGAAUGGAGGCUGUCUAAACUUGGAAGACUCUCUAAAUUCGGGAUGUCUCUUAUUGUCAGCGCCUCAAACGAGAGUGGGAAUUGCAGGCUUGAAAAUUAUCUUGAGUAAUUGAAGAUUCUUUUACCUAAUUUUUGCAAUAACAGGGUAUUUGACAUUUCAUCAAGUUAGUCAAGGGAUAUGAAAUAGAGAUAAAUAAAUCAACCAAAUUCAAAUCACUGUUUAUACGAUUUGAACACUGUUCAUAAAUCACAAGUCGGUCGUACCCAGUGCACAAGGCUCCCGCUUUACGCAUGGUCUGGGAGAGGUGAAUGUCGGCUAGCCUUACCCCCAUUUAUGGAGAGGCUGCUCCCAAGUCUCGAACCCGAGACCUACCGCUCAUGGGCGAAGGCACUUGCCAUCGCACCACUUGUUCAUAAAUCACAAGUAACCAUAAAAAUAUCAGUCCAAAAUCUUCAUAAGGAUAACAAUAACAAACAGAAAGUAAUUGCAGUAGUUCUAAAUAUUAUAUGAACAUGGUUUUACAUGAUGACAAUUCUUGGCAUUACUCAUCUAACACUACUUGGGUGCUGGCAGUGUGUGAUUAAACAAGAUUCAAUACCAUGAUGGGUGAUCAAGCUAGUGGUUCAGCACUCCACUCAUACAGAUGAACUAAAGAAAGUUAAAAUAUUGAUUGAUGUUGCCGGCAUUAAGAAAGAUAACAUGUAAAGGAGAAUGCCCAAGGACUAUAAAAAGAGGUAUAUUAUUGAGAAAUGAAGGUAGAGCGAGAGAAUUAAUAUUGUGUGCAUCAGUACCUGGAGUCAGUUUAUAGCUAUUGAGCAUCAUGAAAAACGCCACAGCAUAGCAAAAGAAAUAUAGAUGGCACUGGGAAACACACAACAUAUAUAGUAAGUCAGAAGUCAACAGUAGAAUGUAUUGAUCAAUUAGAAGUAGAAGAGAAGAGGAGAUGUGGGUUUGAAAAUCUUACAUGACUUAAUUUCAAUGCAAAAGUUUGAGCCAUUUGGAGUCGUUUGUACAUAAAACUGGAAUACAAGUAAUCUCGGAGAACUGUGGCCUUGCACAUCAUGAAAUUUGAUUUUCCCAAUACACAUUUGUUGUAGUAUCGCAAGGCAUUGCAUAGCUUCAAUCCAACUGUUGUCUCAGAAGUCUCAGCCCCAAACUGAUUUAAAAGAAGAGGGAGAAGGACAAACAAAUUAUGUUAUACUAGUUUAAAUUUGAGUGUAGUACUAGUGGAGACAUGGAAUAAAAGAAGCAAAGAGAUAAACAUAUAACGUCAGCUUUGUUAUUUGAUUUCAAUAAUUUAAAAACUUACUGUCGAUUUUUGGAAUGUGAGAAAUCUUAGGCCAAUCUGUGUCGUUGUCCCUGCUGCAUCUUUCUUCUAAAAGGGGAUGACAAAUCCAAAUCUCUAGGAAUUGUAAUUUGAUCAGACCACAACUGAUCAUUUAAAAGAAAAGGGAGAAGGAUAAACAAAUUACGUUAUACUAGUUUAAAUUUCAGUGUAGUACUAGUGGAGACACGGAAGAAAAGAACAAAGGAUAUAAACAUAUAACGUCAGCUCUGUUACUUGAUUUCAAUAAUUUAAAAAACUUACUUGUGAUAUCUGGAAUGUGAGAAAUCUUAGGCCAAUCUGUGCCGCUGUUCCUCAUGCAUCUUUGCUUUAGAAGAGGAUGGCAUCCAGAAAUAUACAGAGUUUGUAAUUUGGUGAGGCGUUGCAUAGCUUGGAAUCUUGGUAAAUUCCUCAGAUUCUCGCAAGACCAAAUCGUCAGCUCUGUAAGGAAUGUAAGGCUACCCAACCAUUCUGGCAAAGUCUCCACUCCGUCAAAUGAACAUAUCUCCAAAUGUGUUAGAGAAGUGAGGUGUUGAAUUUGUUGAGGCAGAGACUUGAGCUUAGGCCAACCCCACAACACUAAACUUGUAAGAUUCAUUAAUGAUGCAACUUGAAAAUCAGG
RNAcentral lists this long non-coding RNA (4887 nucleotides) under Malus domestica (apple). RNAcentral's name for it is "long non-coding RNA (MDOM_LNC009932)". The record is from RNAcentral. Lineage: Eukaryota; Viridiplantae; Streptophyta; Magnoliopsida; Rosales; Rosaceae.